RNAcentral lists this ribosomal RNA (697 nucleotides) under uncultured Bacillus sp. RNAcentral's name for it is "bacterial SSU rRNA". It matches the Rfam family "Bacterial small subunit ribosomal RNA", at positions 79 to 761 of the family's 1533-position model. The record is from RNAcentral. Lineage: Bacteria; Bacillati; Bacillota; Bacilli; Caryophanales; Bacillaceae.
UUGCUCCCUGAUGUUAGCGGCGGACGGGUGAGUAACACGUGGGUAACCUGCCUGUAAGACUGGGAUAACUCCGGGAAACCGGGGCUAAUACCGGAUGGUUGUUUGAACCGCAUGGUUCAGACAUAAAAGGUGGCUUCGGCUACCACUUACAGAUGGACCCGCGGCGCAUUAGCUAGUUGGUGAGGUAACGGCUCACCAAGGCGACGAUGCGUAGCCGACCUGAGAGGGUGAUCGGCCACACUGGGACUGAGACACGGCCCAGACUCCUACGGGAGGCAGCAGUAGGGAAUCUUCCGCAAUGGACGAAAGUCUGACGGAGCAACGCCGCGUGAGUGAUGAAGGUUUUCGGAUCGUAAAGCUCUGUUGUUAGGGAAGAACAAGUGCCGUUCAAAUAGGGCGGCACCUUGACGGUACCUAACCAGAAAGCCACGGCUAACUACGUGCCAGCAGCCGCGGUAAUACGUAGGUGGCAAGCGUUGUCCGGAAUUAUUGGGCGUAAAGGGCUCGCAGGCGGUUUCUUAAGUCUGAUGUGAAAGCCCCCGGCUCAACCGGGGAGGGUCAUUGGAAACUGGGGAACUUGAGUGCAGAAGAGGAGAGUGGAAUUCCACGUGUAGCGGUGAAAUGCGUAGAGAUGUGGAGGAACACCAGUGGCGAAGGCGACUCUCUGGUCUGUAACUGACGCUGAGGAGCGAAAGCG